Molecule: ribosomal RNA, 441 nt
Filed under: uncultured Acinetobacter sp.
Lineage: Bacteria; Pseudomonadati; Pseudomonadota; Gammaproteobacteria; Moraxellales; Moraxellaceae
Description: bacterial SSU rRNA
Rfam family: Bacterial small subunit ribosomal RNA
Source: RNAcentral
GGAAUAUUGGACAAUGGGGGAAACCCUGAUCCAGCCAUGCCGCGUGUGUGAAGAAGGCCUUUUGGUUGUAAAGCACUUUAAGCGAGGAGGAGGCUACUUAGAUUAAUACUCUAGGAUAGUGGACGUUACUCGCAGAAUAAGCACCGGCUAACUCUGUGCCAGCAGCCGCGGUAAUACAGAGGGUGCGAGCGUUAAUCGGAUUUACUGGGCGUAAAGCGUGCGUAGGUGGUCUUUUAAGUCGGAUGUGAAAUCCCUGAGCUUAACUUAGGAAUUGCAUUCGAUACUGGGAGACUAGAGUAUGGGAGAGGAUGGUAGAAUUCCAGGUGUAGCGGUGAAAUGCGUAGAGAUCUGGAGGAAUACCGAUGGCGAAGGCAGCCAUCUGGCCUAAUACUGACACUGAGGCACGAAAGCAUGGGGAGCAAACAGGAUUAGAUACCCCAG